Molecule: ribosomal RNA, 253 nt
Filed under: uncultured bacterium
Lineage: Bacteria
Description: partial 16S ribosomal RNA
Rfam family: Bacterial small subunit ribosomal RNA
Source: RNAcentral
UACGUAGGUGGCAAGCGUUGUCCGGAUUUAUUGGGUUUAAAGGGUGCGUAGGCGGUUCUUUAAGUUAGAGGUGAAAUCCCGUGGCUCAACCACGGAACUGCCUCUGAUACUGGAGAGCUAGCGAGUAGAUGCUGUAGGCGGAAUGUGUGGUGUAGCGGUGAAAUGCUUAGAGAUCACACAGAACACCGAUUGCGAAGGCAGCUUACAAAUCUACAUCGGACGCUGAGGCACGAAAGCGUGGGGAGCAAACAGG